UCCGCAAUGAAGCAUACGUUGAGGAUCCCGCCGAUGAUAUUGGGUGUUCAGAAGAACCACACGGGGACGGAGUAGGGUUGGACUCAGUUACUGAUACCAACGGAAAAGAGCCGGCGAGUCUAAAAGAAGCCCAAAGAAAGUCCAAUGAUGGCAGUUUCGAGGACGAGAAGAGA
Long non-coding RNA from Strongylocentrotus purpuratus (purple sea urchin), 173 nucleotides. RefSeq lists it as uncharacterized. The record is from RefSeq and is a predicted model, not a curated record. NCBI's taxonomy places the organism in Eukaryota, Metazoa, Echinodermata, Echinoidea, Camarodonta, Strongylocentrotidae. The transcript is spliced from 2 exons.